CAAAGUGGACGCCCAACCACCUGAGCCACCAAGCACUCCACAUAAAACAUAUUUUUAUUCAUUCCAUCCCAUUAUUUAGACUUAGAUGUUUUGAAGAGGUUUUAAGUGAUUAAAGAUAGUUUCAAAGAUGAAGAUAGUUUACAGUGAUCUUCUCUUUUAAAUUUUUAGAAGUUUAUUUAUUAUCUAAGUAAUCUCUACACCUAACAUGGGACUCAAACCCAUGACCCAAGAUCAAGAGUCGCAUGCUCUUCCAACUGAGCCAGCCAGGCACCCCUAACCUAAAAUGUUUAAAUAGUUUGUUUCUGAAAUUAGUAGAAUAUGUUGACCAAUUCUACUAAUCAAGUUGAAGGCUAAAGUCAACGCUUGCUUCUAUUGCUAAAUUGCAUUAACUUACUCUGUUAAAGCUACCAUUUUGGUAAUUUGAAUAAGUACCUACUUGAGAAGGUAAUAUUAGGUACCUAUAGACAAUCUGUCCUAUUUCAUUGCCCAUCCCCAAAGUGGGCAUUGCUAGAGUCAUCUCGUGGCCAAAUCCUACUUGGCUAAUGUCACCUUUGUGUCAUUAUUUCCUACAUAGCAGACUAAUUUUUAAAUUUUAACCUGGCUUGUGUUCCUUGUGGUAGUUUGAGGUAACAGCCUCUUCUAUUCUAUUUGGUAAGCCAAGCACUGCCUGGCUUCUUGGCAUUUGUCUCUACAUCAGUGAAAUAUUCACCUUGUGUUUGGUGGCCCUUUGCCUCCACAGAAAGCUCAGAUUCAUAAGCCAAGGCGUUUUAAUAUUGGAAGGGAUAUGGAUCCUACUGGCCUAAAUCCUACCUCAGCUAGGGCUACGCAAGGGCACAGCGGACAGGAUUCAUUACCUCUGAGAGUGCAGUAAAAAGCCAGACUCAAAACUAAUUUUUUGCUUCUCAAAAAGCAAACACCUAGUGUCACGAGCUAUGAAGUGUUAGCCUACCAAGCUUCAUGAGCGUUGACAGAGGACAGAAGACUCCUGGCUCUGAGGCAAAAGACUCUAUUACGCAGAGCACAGCAAGUAGCACAAGCCUCAUGUUUAGGUUGGUCCCCCCUUGCACUUCCCCACCCCCUUCAAGGCAAUGGGAAACUGUUCAGAUAAUGCCACACACAGAGGUUUUGCCUCACACCCAAGGACCGCUGCGCUUAAGAAACCCAACCUUUAUUAUACUGCACGGUAAAUAAACCUGCCCUCUGUUACAGUGAGAGACAUUAUUUCUGUCAUCCAAGGUCCUUGACUACAAACAUCCUUGAAGAGAUAGUCUAGAACAAAAGCUAUCAGUGCCUCUGCUCCCAAGACAUGCAGAAAUGUGAGAGACCUAUGGAGAAUUAUCUCCCAGCACCUAGCAGCCCAAAUAAAGACCAUCAGGCACCUCUGGUUUUAAGGAAUUAUUAGUGGUUCUUUGCUUUAUCCUGUUGUCCCUCCUUCCCCUGAUUCCUGGAAUCACCACCGUCUCCUGGAAGCCAUCCCUACCCCAGCCUCUUUCCCUAAUAGGUGUUUCCACAGCCUCCUCCUCUAUACACCCUCUAUACAACAGCCAAGGGCUAAAACCAGAAACCAAAAUGUCACAAGACCAUAUAUAUCUUGGACUCUGAACCUACCUGAAAUCACAAGAAGUCCAGCCACCUCCUCUUCCCCCUCCCAGGAAUGUUUCAUAUCCGUUGAUGCACGUGUUCCCUAAUAAACAUGUGGGGACCAGCAUUUUCCCCCCUUUUCUCCUCUGGCUCCCUGUAGAGCUGUCUGCAGAUUCUCCCUCUGACUCUCCCUCUCUCUCUUCCUCUCGAGAGAAGUCAAGAAGUUUCCAAGUCAAGGCCACUAAUGUUUGUGCAGGAAGUCUUCCUGUGGCACCUCCAAGACUCCAGAAAAGACAUUGGUAUGGCCCACUAUUGCUGUUGAAGCUGCUAUUGGGGUUCAGAAUGAGUUGUCCUAAGAUGUGCUAUUUUGGCACAUGGAUUAUUCUGAGCUGAAAACCAUCAAGGCCCAAAAGACUCAAGAAGAAACUUUGACCCUCCCCCUAACUGCCUGAAGGAAUUUAGACAGAUGACCUGCUCCAGGAAGAGAGCCAUCACCAUCAAUAACUACUGUGUAAUAUGAACUAGGUUUGGAAGAGGGAGGAACCUAGAAAAGUCUGCUACAAUUCCUCUUUGUGUCUCAUUAUUUCUGUAUGGCCCGAUUCAUCUUCCCGUGAAUUGCUUUCCUUCUCUUUGAAGUUCCAGUCCCCCACCCCUUUCUCCUUAGUAUAGGAUGGACAUAUAUACCUCAUUUUGCUGGUCUUUGGAAUCUCUCAUGUUUAUGUGGAUUCCCUGUACAUACAUAAUUAAAUUUGAUAUUCUCCUAUUAA
Long non-coding RNA from Herpailurus yagouaroundi (jaguarundi), 2348 nucleotides. RefSeq lists it as uncharacterized. The record is from RefSeq and is a predicted model, not a curated record. NCBI's taxonomy places the organism in Eukaryota, Metazoa, Chordata, Mammalia, Carnivora, Felidae. The transcript has 2 exons.